This 45-nucleotide non-coding RNA is filed under the name Schistosoma curassoni. Lineage: Eukaryota; Metazoa; Platyhelminthes; Trematoda; Strigeidida; Schistosomatidae. The record is from RNAcentral.
AUUUAGCUGACGAGUCCCAAAUUGGACGAAACGUAGGUCCUUGAU